This 448-nucleotide ribosomal RNA is filed under the name uncultured bacterium. RNAcentral describes it as "bacterial SSU rRNA". It matches the Rfam family "Bacterial small subunit ribosomal RNA", at positions 355 to 825 of the family's 1533-position model. The record is from RNAcentral.
UGGGGAAUUGUUCGCAAUGGGCGCAAGCCUGAUGCAGCGACGCCGCGUGGGGGAUGAAGGCCCUAGGGUCGUAAACCCCUUUCAGCAGGGACGAAGAUGACGGUACCUGCAGAAGAAGCCCCGGCCAACUACGUGCCAGCAGCCGCGGUAAGACGUAGGGGGCGAGCGUUGUCCGGAUUUAUUGGGCGUAAAGAGCUCGUAGGCGGUUGCGUAAGUCGGAUGUGAAAACUCAGGGCUCAACCCUGAGACGCCAUCCGAUACUGCGCUGACUUGAAUCCAGUAGGGGAGUGCGGAAUUCCUGGUGUAGCGGUGAAAUGCGCAGAUAUCAGGAGGAACACCCAUGGCGAAGGCAGCACUCUGGGCUGGUAUUGACGCUGAGGAGCGAAAGCAUGGGUAGCGAACAGGAUUAGAUACCCCCGUAGUCCCUGAGCGGGCUGGCAAGGCGCAU